AUUCUUUCUGCAGGGGUCAUGGUGGAGGCGAUCACUCCCAUUUGGGAAAUGAUUCCUUGCAGGAAGCCUGGCUGUUGGAACAAGCAAGUUAAAGGAACAGUUUCAUUUGUGCCUUAAUGAAGUUCCGGCAGCCUUCAGGACAGCUCUGCAGCAUCUGUUCCAGAAUUUCAUGAGGACUACGGAAGAACAGGAUGUAGGUGUUAAGAUUGAAAGAUUUUGUAAAAACAAAGAUUUUUUAUUCCAAAUGCAGUGUUACGGGACGGGAGCUUUUUUACAGGAGGAGAGUCAGAAGGUGGCAGGGGGUUGAUGCAAUCAACCAAUGUAGGGGAUGGCAUCGCUGUUGUACCUUGAUGCUGUGAUGUCUUUCAUCCUACUCCUCCAACCCCCUACAAACACACCACCCUAAUUAUGUAGCUGUAGUUGGUAGUAUAGUGCAAUGAUGAUGUAUUGUAGUGUAGUGGUAUAGUAUAUUGUAGAAAAGGUUCAUAUUGUAGUAUUGAUGUAAUUGUUAUAUUUUAGGUUCAUAUUGUUGUCAUUCUGUUGAGACACCCCCUCCCACUAUCCUUAACACACACAUACACACCCACCCCUUCAUUCUUUAGGUUAGUUGUAGUUAGUUAUGGGUAGCACCUGUGAAUGUGCUUUCGUGUGUCUUCCUCAGUCCUGUCUCCACCACAAUUUCCCUCCCUUGUCCCUGCACCCCUUUAUCUCUCAUGCUUUUCAUAUGCUGUUCUAUUUGGUGCAGAACUGUAAAUAUAUCACCUUUAAUAAAUCAUUGCAAUGUUCAACAUCUGAUAAAGAGAAAUCAAUUUGAUUCAGGAUUAAGUGAUAUGUGUAGACUUCCAUAUGCAAUGUCAUUAGGCCACAUUAUAUGGUAACUCUGAAGAAACCCAUUCAGUCUGUAGAGGCUGAUUCAGUGAAUUAGUUACCAUAGUUAAAAUACUAAAAAAAACAUUAAUGCAGUAAUGGAAGAGUCCCCCCUCCCAGCACGUAUCAUUGGGAUCUGUGGUAGCCCACGCAACUUGGCUGAGUUGGACAUUAGCCAACUUUCCCUCUAACGAGAACCCCUUAAAUUCAGAUAGACUCUG
Molecule: long non-coding RNA, 1088 nt
Organism: Hypomesus transpacificus
Lineage: Eukaryota; Metazoa; Chordata; Actinopteri; Osmeriformes; Osmeridae
Exons: 4
Source: RefSeq, a predicted model, not a curated record